RNAcentral lists this ribosomal RNA (431 nucleotides) under Speleomantes ambrosii ambrosii. RNAcentral's name for it is "Hydromantes ambrosii ambrosii partial 16S ribosomal RNA". It matches the Rfam family "Bacterial large subunit ribosomal RNA", at positions 1993 to 2611 of the family's 2925-position model. The record is from RNAcentral. Lineage: Eukaryota; Metazoa; Chordata; Amphibia; Caudata; Plethodontidae.
UGAAUGGCAAAACGAAAGCUUANCUGUCUCCUUGGAUUAAUCAAUGAAAUUGAUCUUUCCGUGCAGAAGCGGAAAUAUCUUUAUAAGACAAAAAGACCCCAUGGAGCUUCAAAUCUAAAUUAAUCACAUGUAAUAAAAAUAUAAUAAACAACUUAAUAUAAGAUUUUGGGUUGGGGCGACCGCGGAGUAAACUUUAACCUCCGAGACAAGUAAUUAAGAAAGACAUUUCAAAAUAAUAAAAUAGCUAAUACACUUGAUCCAAUAUUUGAUCAACGAACCAAGUUACCCUGGGGAUAACAGCGCAAUCCUUUUAGAGAGUUCAUAUCGACAAGGGGGUUUACGACCUCGAUGUUGGAUCAGGGCCCCCAAAUGGUGCAGCAACUAUUAAAGGUUCGUUUGUUCAACGAUUAAAGCCCUACGUGAUCUGAGUU